Molecule: long non-coding RNA, 238 nt
Filed under: Capsicum annuum
Lineage: Eukaryota; Viridiplantae; Streptophyta; Magnoliopsida; Solanales; Solanaceae
Description: long non-coding RNA (CANN_LNC020897)
Source: RNAcentral
UGAUGUUGAUGUUAGUUGAUCAUGGGGUGUUGGUGAGCUCGAGAAAGUUAUUACUUCAUCGUAAUCCUUGUAAUUUUUUGUCUAAUUCUUUGUUUAAUUUUCCGAGUUUAUAAAUCCCUAGUUUCUUAAUGGGAGAAUUUUAAUAUCAUUUUAGCAAAAAAAUUAUCCAUUCUUGAGGGUAAAUGAUCCCGAAGCGUAGAGGGACCUAUUGACGGUUUCAAAAUUGAGAAUUCACAAG